GCCCAGGAAGCCUCUUCCUCAGACAUGCUGCUGCUGCUACUGCUGCCCCUGCUGUGGGCAGGGGCCCUGGCUAUGGAUCCAAAUAUCUGGCUGCAAGUGCAGGAGUCAGUGACGGUACAGGAGGGUUUGUGUGUCCUCGUGCCCUGCACUUUCUCCCAUCCCAUACCCUACCACACCAGGAAUUCCCCAGUUCAUGGUUACUGGUUCCGGGAAGGAGCCAUUGUAUCCUGGGACUCUCCAGUGGCCACAAACAAGCUAGAUCAAGAAGUACAGGAGGAGACUCAGGGCCGAUUCCGCCUCCUUGGGGAUCCCAGUAGGAACAACUGCUCCCUGAGCAUCAUAGAUGCCAGGAGGAGGGAUAAUGGUUCAUACUUCUUUCGGAUGGAGAGAGGAAGUAUCAAAUACAGUUACAAAUCUCCCCAGCUCUCUGUGCAUGUGACAGACUUGACCCACAGGCCCAAAAUCCUCAUCCCUGGCGCCCUAGACCCCGGCCACUCCAAAAACCUGACCUGCUCUGUGCCCUGGGCCUGUGAGCAGGGAACACCCCCGAUCUUCUCCUGGUUGUCAGCUGCCCCCACCUCCCUGGGCCCCAGGACUACUCACUCCUCGGUGCUCAUAAUCACCCCACGGCCCCAGGACCACGGCACCAACCUGAUCUGUCAGGUGAAGUUCCCUGGAGCUGGUGUGACUACGGAGAGAAUCAUCCAGCUCAAUGUCACCUAUGCUCCACAGAAUCCAACAACUGGUAUCUUUCUAGGAGAUGGCUCAGGGAAACAAGAGACCAGAGCAGGAGUGGUUCAUGGGGCCAUCGGAGGAGCUGGUAUUACAGCCCUGCUUGCUCUUUGUCUCUGCCUCAUCUUCUUCAUAGUGAAGACCCACAGGAGGAAAGCAGCCAGGACAGCAGUGGGCAGGAAUGACACCCACCCUGCCACAGGGCCAGCCUCCCCGAAACACCAGAAGAAGUCCAAGUUACAUGGCCCCACUGAAACCUCAAGCUGUUCAGGUGCCGCCCCUACUGUGGAGAUGGAUGAGGAGCUGCAUUAUGCUUCCCUCAACUUUCAUGGGAUGAAUCCUUCCAAGGACACCUCCACCGAAUACACAGAGGUCAGGACCCAGUGAGGAACCUACAAGAGCAUUGGGCUCAGCUAGAAGAUCCACAUCCUCUACAGGUCGGGGACCAAAGGCUGAUUCUUGGAGAUUUAACACCCCACAGGCAAUGGGUUUAUAGACGUUAUGCUCCCUCUCCUCUGGGGACUGUGAGCUCCACCGGCCACAGUAUGAAAUACCUCAAGGCCCAAGUACAAGUUCUUCUCCAGCAUGAAGCAUCCUUCAACUUCGCACUACUGGGACGAAUCUGGAACUCCCCUCUCUGGGAUCCCACAGGCUCCUACCCAUCUCUCCACCACAGCUAUACUCCCAGGAUCUAGAAUCUGUUAAAAUUGUCUUAAUGAAGGCAGUAGAAGGCAGCAAUUAAAAUUUUCACUUCCUUCACAGUAGCCAAAAAUUGGAAGCAACCCAAAUGUCCAUCAACUAAUGAAGAAUAAACAAAAUCUGGUACAUUCCUGCAAUGCAUAUCAUUCAGACAUAAAGAAGGACAGAAGUACGGAUACAUGCUACAACAUGUAUGAACUUCGAAAACAUCACACCAAGUGAAAGAAGCCAGAUACUAAAGAUCACGUAUCAUAUGAUUCCAUUGAUAUGAAAUGUCUAGAAUAGGAAAUAUAUUUCUGGAGGCAGAAAGCAGAUUGGUGGUUACCAGGGGCUUCAAGGAGGGCAGUGACUGCUUAGUGAGUACACGCUUUCCUUUUGGGGUAAUGAAAAUGUUUAGAACCAAAUAGAGGUUGUGGUUACACAACAUUGUGCAUGUACUAAAUGCCACUGAGUUGUUUACUUUAACAUGGUUCAUUGUAUGUAAUGUGAUUUUACUUCAAUAAAAAAAAUAAUAAUAA
Molecule: RNA transcript, 1949 nt
Organism: Pongo pygmaeus (Bornean orangutan)
Lineage: Eukaryota; Metazoa; Chordata; Mammalia; Primates; Hominidae
Gene name: myeloid cell surface antigen CD33
Exons: 8
Source: RefSeq, a predicted model, not a curated record